Non-coding RNA from Drosophila melanogaster (fruit fly), 2518 nucleotides. Lineage: Eukaryota; Metazoa; Arthropoda; Insecta; Diptera; Drosophilidae. The record is from Ensembl.
AUGAGUCGCGGUCUUGGGAUCUAAGGAGCCCAGAAUAAAUGGAAGAAGGAAAUUGAGUUGAAGGAGUUGCUCAAGUGCUGCCACAUGUUGCCGUUGUAAAUUGGUCGACAAUUGACGGCCUAAUAGGGUUAAGUGCCGGAAAUUACGCGAACCGAAAAAGCGGCGGAGGCUUCGAAUUCGCGCAAUCUAUUGCCACACUUAUAAGGUUUCUGCUCCCAAGUACAUACAUACCAGUUCAAGAUGAUAUCAUCAAAAAUGUUAGGUUUUCAUAGUGAUUAUAUCACUAUAUUAAUAUCGUAUUUCUGAUAUGGUGUAUAUUUUAGAUGUAUUCUUAUAAAAUAUAUCUCGCUUUAGGUUCUAAAAAUCAUAAUUUGUGGGACUAAAUAUAAAAGAUACUAUAAAGGAUUUUCAUCAUAUGCUAUAUGUACUUCGAUUGAUUAGCUACAAACUCUUUUAAUUAGGGAAAUAAUAAAUAAUCAAGGUAGUAUGUAGUAUUUUUGCUAUACCAUUAUUCAAAGUGUAAGGAUAUUCAAUACUGUAGAAGUAGUUCAAUCCGAUUGCUUUUGUGAUAUAAUUGCAUUCUUAUUGUUAAUGGAUUGAAAAUAGCGCUAAUGGAGUGAAAUUGCAGCAACUACAUCUCCGAAUAUUUUCGAGGAGUGCUACGAACUGAUAACGAUCAUUAGCGAAGCUGUGAGAUGACAGGACUCAAGAUGCCCAUGCGAACUCAAUCAGUGUCAGGGGGAAAAGGUGUGCUAGGAUGGGAUGUCCCAUAUCCAGGACAUCGGGGUGGGGGAAUCGAGCCGAAUGAAUCGCAACUGUCAAUAAAUGGAGCAGAGUGAGGGACACGGCUCUAAUCCCAGAUGACGUGAGCAAUGUGCCUCGCCUGUGGAAGUGGCCCAAGAAACCAGACCAGACCAGAUCAGACCAGAUCAGGGGAGGAUCGGCGAGGAAAUUGCCAACUAUUUGUAUUUGUCAAAGGCUCUGAUUUCACGGCAGCUAGGAAAUCCACAUUUCCAGAUUCUCGACGAUUAAUCAAUGUGACGAGGACAUCUUGAGUUGGUUUGCGCGCCAAACGAAUGUCCUGACUGUGGUUUUCGGUAAUCCCCCUGCGUUCAUCUUGGGGAUCCAAUCCGAAAUACUCACACUUUCUUCAGAGGGAUGAGGUGAGGAGAGGUCAGGAGUCGGGGCAGACCGCAGGAUCAAAGAAUCCAAUCGAUUUGCAUAGCAGACGACGGCAGGCAAAGGGUUGUAGUCCUCGAUCUGCAGAUCCUUAGAUCUUCAGAUUGCGAUACCGAUUGCCUAUGUAAAUGUUGUUUGCCCGACAAACUUUAGCUCUCGGCACAAUGCCAAAUGCAAACUAAUAGAUACAUUUUGAUCGCCGUCCAUCCGGGGGUAAUUAAGCAUAUUUACGGUCAGCCAAAAGGAUCAACGAGGUUGCGGAUGCUGUGCAAGGACGAAAAGUUAAAGGAGUGAAGGGGGCUGGACCUUCGGUAUUCACGGCUUUGUGUAAAGAUUCAGAAAUUCAUUUGGAAACAUAAAACAUAAACAUAAAAGCUUUUCAAUUAACAUGAUGAUCCUUUAAUCCUUUGGAAAACCUACAAGUUCCUCAAACGCAUCCAUUCCAUUUGGUAUAAACGCCAAACGCGCAGCUCUACUAACAAUGGAAUAUAUAAUAAUUGUUCAAAAAUCAGUUUUGUGACCACAUCGAUGGUCCACCAUCGAUCACGUCAGCAGCUUCUUCUCCGCGAUGAGCAUCUCCCUUAGCACUCGCCGUGUCCAACUGCGGAAACGUUCCUUGCUGCGAUCGCUCAAAGAUCGGAGCAUGGGCACCAUGCUGAGCAGGAAAUGGCGGUUCGAUUCGUUGGAUAUUUUGGCCAUGGCUGAUGGCGGUGGCGCUCGAAAAAUGGGCAGUAGUAUGAAGUCCAGAUUGGUUUGCCACAACCAUUGAUCGGUGCCCAAUAGCCUGGUCACCUCCUCGUCCACAUCCAGAUCGAAUGCCGGCUCGUCCGUAACCAGAAAGAGUCUCUCCUCCGCCUCGAAUUCGAUGCCACCCUUUUUGAAUGCCGAAUAGCUCGCCACCGAUUGCAGAUAUUGUUGCGGAUGUAGAAUUAGCUUGCUUUUCUUCACCUGAACACGGCAACGCGCAGGAGUCUUGGGCUUGUGUGGCGGGAAGACAUCGCGAACGAACUCCAUUUGUUUGGAGUGCGGCCAGCUCCAGGCGUUGCCUUGGUGGAUCUUAGUGCGGUAGUUGUUACGCAGACUCUUCCAACGCCGCUUGCACUCGUCAACGCCAAGUCCUACCGCAUUGGAGACAUCCAGCCAGUCGAUAGGGAUUUGCGGCCGACGCAGCGAGAAUUUGAUGCGACUGUCCCAGAUCGAUGGACGAAGUGCAAUCUCGCGGAGUAGGUGGUUUGUCUCCAGAUUGUUGGUCGGAUACUUGUUAUCGGCAGAAGUCAUCGCACAUGCACGUGUUGAUGGAAUUCCGAAAAUAAAGAAGGAAUUUAAAAUCGAGACUCUC